Molecule: ribosomal RNA, 496 nt
Filed under: uncultured bacterium
Lineage: Bacteria
Description: partial 16S ribosomal RNA
Rfam family: Bacterial small subunit ribosomal RNA
Source: RNAcentral
AUGAACGCUGGCGGCGUGCCUAAUACAUGCAAGUCGAGCGAACGGACGAGAAGCUUGCUUCUCUGAUGUUAGCGGCGGACGGGUGAGUAACACGUGGAUAACCUACCUAUAAGACUGGGAUAACUUCGGGAAACCGGAGCUAAUACCGGAUAAUAUUUUGAACCGCAUGGUUCAAAAGUGAAAGACGGUCUUGCUGUCACUUAUAGAUGGAUCCGCGCUGCAUUAGCUAGUUGGUAAGGUAACGGCUUACCAAGGCAACGAUGCAUAGCCGACCUGAGAGGGUGAUCGGCCACACUGGAACUGAGACACGGUCCAGACUCCUACGGGAGGCAGCAGUAGGGUAUCUUCCGCAAUGGGCGAAAGCCUGACGGAGCAACGCCGCGUGAGUGAUGAAGGUCUUCGGAUCGUAAAACUCUGUUAUUAGGGAAGAACAUAUGUGUAAGUAACUGUGCACAUCUUGACGGUACCUAAUCAGAAAGCCACGGCUAACUACGUG